RNAcentral lists this ribosomal RNA (860 nucleotides) under Boletus cf. edulis 197/84. RNAcentral's name for it is "eukaryotic LSU rRNA". It matches the Rfam family "Eukaryotic large subunit ribosomal RNA", at positions 67 to 915 of the family's 3401-position model. Lineage: Eukaryota; Fungi; Basidiomycota; Agaricomycetes; Boletales; Boletaceae. The record is from RNAcentral.
AACAAGGAUUCCCCUAGUAACUGCGAGUGAAGCGGGAAAAGCUCAAAUUUUGAAUCUGGCGGUCUUUGCAGACCGUCCGAGUUGUAAUCUAGAGAAGCGUCUUCCGCGCCGGCCCGUGUACAAGUCUCCUGGAAGGGAGCAUCUUAGAGGGUGAGAAUCCCGUCUCUGACACGGACCACCGGGGCUAUGUGAUGCGCUCUCGACGAGUCGAGUUGUUUGGGAAUGCAGCUCAAAAAGGGUGGUAAACUCCAUCUAAAGCUAAAUAUUGGCGAGAGACCGAUAGCGAACAAGUACCGUGAGGGAAAGAUGAAAAGGACUCUGGAAAGAGAGUUAAACAGUACGUGAAAUUGCUGAAAGGGAAACGCUCGAUGUCCAGUCGCGUCGUCCGGGGGUCAACCUUGCUUCACUGCACGGUGUAUUUCCUGGUCGACGGGUCAGCAUCAGUUUCGGUCGUCCUACAAGGGCUGAGAGGAAAGUGGCACCCUUCCGAGGGUGUGUUAUAGCCUUUCGGUCGUAUGCGGCGAGCGGGACUGAGGAGACUCGGCACGCCUCGCGGUGCGCUAGAGAUGCUGGCAUAAUGGCAUUGAGCGACCCGUCUUGAAACACGGACCAAGGAGUCUAACAUGCCUGCGAGUGUUUGGGUGGCAAACCCGAGCGCGAAACGAAAGUGAAAGUCGAGAUCUCCUCUCACGGGAGUGCACCGACGCCCGGAUCCGUCGUCUUCGACGGUGGAUCUGCGGUAGAGCAUGCAUGUUGGGACCCGAAAGAUGGUGAACUAUGCCUGAAUAGGGCGAAACCAGAGGAAACUCUGGUGGAGGCUCGUAGCGAUUCUGACGUGCAAAUCGAUCGUCGAAUUUGGG